CGACCUCUAAGUUUCGCCUAGGGU
Molecule: non-coding RNA, 24 nt
Filed under: Arabidopsis thaliana (thale cress)
Lineage: Eukaryota; Viridiplantae; Streptophyta; Magnoliopsida; Brassicales; Brassicaceae
Source: RNAcentral